RNAcentral lists this ribosomal RNA (650 nucleotides) under Salmonella enterica subsp. enterica serovar Anatum. RNAcentral describes it as "partial 23S ribosomal RNA". It matches the Rfam family "Bacterial large subunit ribosomal RNA", at positions 64 to 652 of the family's 2925-position model. Lineage: Bacteria; Pseudomonadati; Pseudomonadota; Gammaproteobacteria; Enterobacterales; Enterobacteriaceae. The record is from RNAcentral.
AUCUGCGAUAAGCGCCGGUAAGGUGAUAUGAACCGUUAUAACCGGCGAUACCCGAAUGGGGAAACCCAGUGUGACUCGUCACACUAUCAUUAACUGAAUCCAUAGGUUAAUGAGGCGAACCGGGGGAACUGAAACAUCUAAGUACCCCGAGGAAAAGAAAUCAACCGAGAUUCCCCCAGUAGCGGCGAGCGAACGGGGAGGAGCCCAGAGCCUGAAUCAGCAUGUGUGUUAGUGGAAGCGUCUGGAAAGGCGCGCGAUACAGGGUGACAGCCCCGUACACAAAAGCGCAUGUGCUGUGAGCUCGAUGAGUAGGGCGGGACACGUGGUAUCCUGUCUGAAUAUGGGGGGACCAUCCUCCAAGGCUAAAUACUCCUGACUGACCGAUAGUGAACCAGUACCGUGAGGGAAAGGCGAAAAGAACCCCGGCGAGGGGAGUGAAAAAGAACCUGAAACCGUGUACGUACAAGCAGUGGGAGCCCCACCACUAAGCCAGUGGUGAACUCCACAUACGCAUCCUUUGCUGAGGAUACGGUUAACGGAGCGAAAGCGACGUUCAACCGCAAAAGAAGCAGAGGGGGCUUAGUGGUGGGGUGACUGCGUACCUUUUGUAUAAUGGGUCAGCGACUUAUAUUCUGUAGCAAGGUUAACCG